UGGCGCGGGGAGGAGCGGGGACCUGGCAGCAGGGCUGCGAGGCUGCGAGCGAGCCGCGGACCGGGCGGGCGGCGGGCGCGCGCACCAUGGGGGAGAAACCGGGCACCAGGGUCUUCAAGAAGUCGAGCCCUAACUGCAAGCUCACCGUGUACUUGGGCAAGCGGGACUUUGUAGACCACCUGGACAGAGUGGACCCCGUAGAUGGCGUGGUGCUCGUGGACCCUGACUACUUGAAGGACCGCAAAG
Molecule: non-coding RNA, 246 nt
Organism: Puma concolor (puma)
Lineage: Eukaryota; Metazoa; Chordata; Mammalia; Carnivora; Felidae
Source: RefSeq, a predicted model, not a curated record